RNAcentral lists this ribosomal RNA (468 nucleotides) under uncultured bacterium. RNAcentral describes it as "partial 16S ribosomal RNA". It matches the Rfam family "Bacterial small subunit ribosomal RNA", at positions 28 to 507 of the family's 1533-position model. The record is from RNAcentral.
GACGAACGCUGGCGGCGUGCUUAACACAUGCAAGUCGAACGGAAAGGCCCUGCUUUUGUGGGGUGCUCGAGUGGCGAACGGGUGAGUAACACGUGAGUAACCUGCCCUUGACUUUGGGAUAACUUCAGGAAACUGGGGCUAAUACCGGAUAGGAGCUCCUGCUGCAUGGUGGGGGUUGGAAAGUUUCGGCGGUUGGGGAUGGCCUCGCUGCUUAUCAGCUUGUUGGUGGGGUAGUGGCUUACCAAGGCUUUGACGGGUAGCCGGCCUUAGAGGGUGACCGGCCACAUUGGGACUGAGGUACGGCCCAGACUCCUACGGGAGGCAGCAGUGGGGAAUAUUGCACAAUGGGCGGAAGCCUGAUGCAGCAACGCCGCGUGCGGGAUGACGGCCUUCGGGUUGUAAACCGCUUUCGCAUGUGACGAAGCGUGAGUGACGGUAAUGGGUAAAGAAGCACCGGCUAACUACGUG